GCGGUUUUUGUGGAUGUUCUUUGUCCGUUUCAACUUUUGCCCUCCAAGCCCGUCUCGCGCGGAGAGGAAACAAAAACGUGUC
Molecule: non-coding RNA, 82 nt
Filed under: Aspergillus rambellii
Lineage: Eukaryota; Fungi; Ascomycota; Eurotiomycetes; Eurotiales; Aspergillaceae
Source: Rfam by way of RNAcentral